RNAcentral lists this long non-coding RNA (981 nucleotides) under Spirodela polyrhiza (greater duckweed). RNAcentral's name for it is "long non-coding RNA (SPOL_LNC001695)". Lineage: Eukaryota; Viridiplantae; Streptophyta; Magnoliopsida; Alismatales; Araceae. The record is from RNAcentral.
GGCACCUCAAUGUACAGGGAAAAUUCAGGCAGGGCCCUGUAAAACGUACGAGGAAAUUUCAGGCUAAAGCUCAUUCAGGAAGACGAUCUCAGAUAGAAAUGUCUGGAAAGAUCCAGCUCAUGAUGAAUCAGCCGCACCCAGAAUGCCGGACAAGAACCAAACACUAAAAAAUCAUUACAACGUGUUCACUUCGAAGCUCCACGUCGCGUACUGGUUACUGGUGAAUAUGUCGGAUCAUAGCUCUGAGCUGCUGGUUAUGCAAGAUCAUAGAAAUCCAGUCACUGGAGAGCCUUGGUAUUCCUGAACAACGAUAAGAUAUACAGAUAUAUAUAAAUAUAUAUAGCAUAAUUUAAGCUAUGGUGUGACCUAAAAGUUUCCUGACUGAUUUCCAUCGAGUCUACCCAUGAUGAGAACUAAAAUUCAUACCAUGAUCCAUAUAGUGAAGACUCACAAUGUAUGUUUCGGGCUUGCAAAAAUAUCCCGACUGGUGCUCACAGAAUGAGAGCCAUUAUUACUUCAGACGUAGACUGCCAACUCCAGAAAUGAAGACAUUUGGAUUGGAAAAGACCAGCCCAUAUUUGCUUAUGACCUUGUAGAACUAACAGGUUGUGAGACCACAUUUCCUGACGAGCGCCAGGGAGUGGAUUCAAAUUUCAUGCGGCAGCCAUGACAGAGGAAGGACCUCCCAGAUUAAGCAGGUAUGCCCGGUGAAACAGUGCAUGACGAACCGUCUGCUCCAAGAAAUGGAAGAGUAUGAGAUCAGAACAUGUUUCUCAAUUCCAGAAGCAAUUCAAAGAAGCGGGGGUUGAUUUCUGUGAGGAUUCUUGGCCGGCAUCAGGUCCUGGGGAGUCGGGAGAGAUAUUUUGGAGGCCCCGUCAGAAACUGCGAAGAUGAAAGACUGGAGCUGGGGGAAGGAAAUCUACAGCGGGAUCUUCUCAAGAGAAGCUGGCAGAAAUGACGCAUGAUUGAAAGUCAACCCAC